CAUCCUCUUUAUCACUAAACCCUGCAAUCAUUCAAAUCAAAUUACAUUUUACAAUCAUAAGAUAAUUGCACAUAAUUUUUUAUAUAUUAUGAACUAUUGGUGGGGCCUAGGUCAAAAUUAUUCUUUAUUUUAUACUUCAAUCAAAUCCUGUGGGCUCAUAUCAGAGAGAAAACCAGAAUGGAAUGGUUGGUUGGUUAAGAAAAGUUUUGGUAUUUUUUAAGGCCAACAAAUCAGGUGACAGCACUCCAUUGUUAGUUCUUGUCAACAUAAUUAACAAUAGAAAACAAUACUUUCCCAGAAGCUCAAACCAGUUAACAUCAACUUCAAAACAAUAUCUGGGAAUGUGUACUGUUCCCAACUGUCUAUAUAAAUAGCAGUUUUGAGUUUUUAAACUACCAAGGUGUUUCAAAUCAGCAUUAACUCUCUUAAAAUUUCAACUCUCAACAUGGUUUUGAUAAAUCAAACAGUUCACAUUAUUUCAAAAGAAGUUAUCUUUUAGCAAAGAAAAAUACGGUAGUGGAUGAAAGAUGACAUCUAUAUUUACCUUACACAUGUUUGGAGGACACAAACUGCAGCCAUGAGGAGAUCUGUUGAAAUCAUGGCAAGGUAGAAUCCUUAACCUUCCUUCUUCAUUCACAUAACCGGGGUUAGUAUUGAUCUCUGAGAAAUAUUCCCUUAUUCCUAAGUGCUUCAAAAUUGACUCAAUGAAAAACAAGUUUGCGUCACUCACAAUCCUCAAAUCACACCUGGAAAAACAAAUGCCACCAUAAAUUUAAUCCACAAAAUCACAUUAAAAAAAAGUAACAAAAUUUGCAUGCAUAGUUACAUACCCUGAAGCAUGAGCUGCUUUAACAGCGGGUAUUACCCUGGGGUGCAAGGGAAUCUUAUGCAGAACCUCUUCAAUGUCCUUAAUGGUUUUACCCUGUGAGUGAAGCUCCAUCAUCAUCUUGUCCUAUAAAUCCAAAACCAAAACAAACAAAAAAUAACAAACGGUUAUUCAUACCAUUAACACAAAAUCUAAAAAAAAAAUAUACAAAAAAGGAAGAAAAAAACUAAUUCUUAGAUAUAUUUUAACUGUUCUUGGUUACAUUGCCGCAUUAUUUGUUAAUCUUUAAUGCAAAAAUAAUUUAACCAAAAUUAGAAAAUGAAACUUUAAUGGCAAAGAACACUUAGCAAACAGGCAUGUAAAGUUUGUUCCUAAAGAAAGUGACUACAAAGGCUUACCAUGAGAGUGUUCCAAGGCAUUGUGGGAAGGAGUUGGUUGAACAAAUCUGUGAAACCCAACUCGUCGAUGACCCAGUUGUCGCUGUCGACAUCCACAAUGGUCUUGUCAAAGUCGAAAACAACCACAAUUUCAGACAUGUUUGUUUUGGUGAAUGCAGAAACUCUGAACGGCCCAGAAGAAGAAACCUUCUUCUCAAGAACAAGGCUCUCUUUGGGUGUCUGGUGGUGCUCUCAAGAUCUGCUCUUGGCUUGGAUUGCACCCUGAAAGAGAAUGAAAAGGGUAUUUGUAGUGAAUGUGGGUUAAGAAAACCCCAAAAAAAUGAAUCUUUGAUUCCAAAGGAAUAUUACCUUGCAUAUGGAUUGUUCCUGGAAGAGAAGAAGGUGACCAAGGAAAAAGUUUCAUUUUUAGCCUCAGAAAUUUCUAGCUGUGACAUUUCAAAUUCAAUCUAAGCCGUUGGUUUUGAAGAAUAUUAGGUGGGAAAAAAAUCAGAGGGUUUGGAGAUUGAGCAUAAAUAUGGGAAUAUUCCAUUAGGGAAUUUGAUGCCUUUGAUGUGACUAUGAAACGCGCUACUCCACCAACAAGUUUACAGGUGCAACCCAUCAGAAUAUUUUGGGUAUAGUCCCUUCCCUUCCACAAACAUUUAACUCAUGCAAUCCAUUUUUAUCAAAAUUUCAUUUAUUACAAUCUUAAGUGUAAUAAUGUUCAUUGAAAAUAAAAUAUAUUCUAUAUUAUUAAAUAAAUUAGCAACAUAGUGUGUGUUCAUUAAAUGUCUUCUAUUGUGUGUCUUUCUAGCAUUGUAAUUAUUGUUAGAACACACUUAAUUUGGAGUAAAUAAAUGUGAUUUGGUGAAAAAAAUAGUAUUUACUUUAUGAAAAAAAAAAUUAAAAAAUUAAUUUAUUUACUUUUUACAAAAAAUUAUCCUUUUUAAAAAAAUUAUUUUAUUUCAAUAUCUAAAAUAGUUAUAAUUUCAAUAUAUUCUUUUCAUUUUUUUCGAUUAUAAAUAACCAGCACGUUAUUAUAUUAAGACGGACUAUAGGGGUGAAGGGGAGUCACCUUUUUCUCUUCAAAAUUAUAAUAUAGAUUUUUCUAAAAUAAAAAUUAUUUUUUACGUGUUAAAUUUAAACAAUUUUUUACAUGAAUUAUAUGACUUCUAUAUUAUAGUAUAGCGCAUUUUAUUAUUAGUUUAAAUAUUAAUUCAGACUAUUUACACUCUUGAGAAAAUAUUUAAUCUACAACUUUUUAUAUCCAUACUGUUUAUUCUUAAUUUUAAAAGUUUUAUUCCUUUUAUUAUUACAUUAAAAGAAUAUAUUAUCAAUAAAAGAUCAAAUUUUUUAAAUAAGAUUUCAAAGUAAUUAAAAAAAAACUGAAAAUAUCACUAUUACCUAGGAUGAAUGUUGCAAACACCCCAUAAAAUAUAAACUACGCACACAAUAUACAUUUUUUAUAUUAUCAUAAACUAUAGCAUAGGAGUCUAAUAUAAUAAAUAUAUUUAACUAAAUCAUAUUGAAAUAUAUAAAAUCUAACCGAAGUUCAUAGAAAAUCUUAGAUAUCUCUAUGGAAUAGUAAUGAAAUAACCAUUAAAAAAAUGACUCAAUUAAAAAUUAAAUCAACUUAAAACUAAGCAUAAAUCAUAUAUACUAUAGUUUACUCUAAAGAAUCUAUUUCAUAUCAGUUGUCAUGCAGAAUAAAUUUAUAAUGAAUUUAAGUAUAAAUAAACAGUAGAUAUAUAAGUAUUCUGUUAUUAUCUCAUACUUUUGUCUCCAUAAGUUUUUGAAGAAGAAUAGUAAAAAGAAGAAAAGAAGACUCAGUAAAAAUUCAAUGAAAUCACAAAAAAAAAAUAGAGAGAGACAAAAAAAAAUGGUGGUAUGAUAUUGAUCCAAAAUUAAAGUUGAAGCAAAACAUCAAUAACCAAAGUGUUGUUUGGUAUGUCUGCGGAACACCACCAAGAUUUCUUGUCAAUCAAGAUUAGUCAAAUGUUAUCCAAUGUUCAGAGAAAAAAAAAAAUUCCCAAAGAUGUAUAGAAAACAUGUAUUGGUAUUUGAUAGAAAUUAUAGUGGUCCACAACUUAAGACCAAUUCCAACAUUUAACAUUUGCAACUUUAUUAUAGUAUAAGUUUGGUGAAGGUUAAUUGGGAAAAAAGCUUAAAAGUUACUAUGAUACAUUCUAAACUAAGAACUGGUUAUGGGCGAAGUGGUAGGGCUUUGGGCAAAGCCUCCAAAACAGAGAGUGACAGAGUCUGAAGCUUGCAAUCAGAGGUAAUGAAGGGAGAUUUGUGCUCCAUUGACACUUUGCUGAUCAAUUGCAGCAAUACUUGUUCAAGUUCUUCUCCAUCACUCCAUCCAUGAAUCUCAGCCUUAACAACUGAAGGGUCUUUGCAUAUCAAGUCCCACACUGGAAAGUUCUUCCUUGGCAUCAUAAAGUCCUUCUCUUUCAGCCUCAAACUUGGGCAAUAGUCUCCACUCCCAUCUCCAAGGUAGAUCAACCUCUUAUCCUCUUCUGAUAUUGAAUCUUGCAUCCUCUUUAUCACCAAACCCUGCAAUCAUUCAAAUAAAAUAACAUUUUACAAUCAAAAGAUAAUUAUACAUAAUUUUUUAUUUAUUAUGAACUAUUGGUGGGGCCUAGGUCAAAAUUGUUCUUUAUUUUAUAUUUCAAUCAAAUCCAGUAGGCUCGUAUCAGAGAGAAAACAAGGAUGGCAUGUUUGGUGGUUAAGAAAAUAUUUGGUAUUUUUUAAGGCCAAGAAUUCAGGAGACAAGUUCCAUUAUAGGAUCAAUUCAUGACUCAUAAACACUUGAGCCACGUUAGGAGCAAUCUUUGUGAUUAAAAAUGGAAAAAAUAGUGUUCCAUCAGCUAGAGCCAGUUAAGAACAACUUGAAAACAAUAUCUAGAAACGUGUAUUGUUGCCAACUGUUGUAUACAUUUAAGAAACUUUUCAUCAUGAUUUAGACAAAUGACAAAACAAGAUAGAAAAAGGAAGUUGUGUAUUUACCUUGCACAUGUUUGGAGGGCACAAAGUGCAGCCAUGGGAAGCUUUGUUGAAAUCAUGGUAAGGAAGAAUCCUUAACCUCCCUUCUUCAUUCACAUAACCGGGGUUAGUAUUGAUCUCUGAGAAAUAUUCCCUUAUUCCCAAAUGCUUCAAAAUAGUCUCAAUGAAAUACGUGUUUGCAUCACUCAGAAUCCUCAAAUCACACCUGAAAAACAAAUGCCACCGUAAAUUUAAUCCACGAAUCAUAUUUACCAAAAAAAUAAAUAAAAGAAGAUGAUCAUAAUUUUGUAUGAGAGAUGCAGAGUUACGUACCCUAAAGCAUGAGCUGCUUUAAUAGCAGGAAUAACUCUGGGGUGCAAGGGAAUCUUAUGCAGAACCUCUUCAAUGUCCUUCAUGCUUUUACCAUGUGAAUGAAGCUCCUUCAUCAUUGUGUCCUUUAAAAAACCAAAAAAAACAAAAAAACUCGGUUAUUCAUGUCAUUCAAAUCAUGCAUUCUGCAAAGUUCAGUUUAAACAAAACAGAGUAUAAACCCAAAAAAUGUGGCAACAAAAAGGCUUACCAUGAGAGUGUUCCAAGGCAUGGUGGGAAGAAGCUGGUUGAACAAAUCGGUGAAACCCAAUUCAUCGACGACCCAGUUGUCGCUGUCGACAUCCACAAUGGUUUUGUCGAAGUCGAAAACAACCACGAUUCCAGACAUUAUCUGUUUUGGGGAAUGAAAAAAAGAAACCUUCUUUCUGAAGAAUAAGGCUCUGUUUGGGUGUGUGUAUAGUGCUCUGAAGAUUGGUGGUUCUUGGCUUGGUUCUACAAUGGAAAGAAAAAGGGUUAUUUAUAGUAAUGGUGAAUGAAUGAAGAAAAAAAGAAUCUUAGAUUCCAAAGGAAUAUUACACGGAUACUUCGUGGUAGCAAAGAUGGAGGCUCAAAAUUAAAAACACAAAUGUGGCCGUUUUAUUUUACACUCAUCCAAAACCUUUCGGUGCGUUUAAAAUUCAAUCUAGACCGUUGGAUGAAAUCAUAUAGGUAGGCGAAAGGAUCGGAGGGCGUAGGUGGAUUGGACCUAAGAGUAAAACACGGGAAUAUUGACAGGGAAUUGGAUGCACUUGAGGAGCCUCACCUGAGUGUGUGAAAUCCACUUCUCACAAACGCAUGAGAAUAUUCUGAGUAUAGUCCGUUCAGUUAAUUUCGCCAAUUUCAUUUUUUUUUCUGUUAUGAAUUAAUAAAUAUUGGAUUUUAGAAUCAAUAUUUACCUCUAUAUAGAUAAAUUCUUUUUAGAUUUAUAAUAAAUUAAAAUAAUGUAAUAUAUUGUAAUCAAAUGGUUUUGAUUGAUGAUGUCUUUUGAAAAAUUAUAGAAUAUUACUCAAAAAUUCAAGAUGAUAAAAAAGUAAAUUGGUAGAGAUAACCAAUUCAGAAAAUAAGUAUCAUGAUAAAAAUAAAAAAUAAAAGUGUGAUUUGAAAGGAUUUUUUUAAUAUUGUUUUUAUAUUAAAGUAAAAAGAAAUAGAUAAAGUUAGUUUUUAUUUAUAUAUUGUUAAGACUAUUAUGAUUUGAUAAAUUAUUGAUGUCUAUCAUUCUCAUCACAUAUUAGUUAGACAUAAAUUAACCAAUAUUGAUAGAGUAUCUUUUUUAUGUAUGUGAACUCAAUUUUUCAAUUUAUAUAUUUUUCAAAAUUUCUAUAGUGAUUUUUUAUCAUCUGACACCAAUUUUUUUUAAUAAUUUAUUAAUUUUUUUGUUUCAAUGUGAAAUGAAAAGCAAUUAUAUUAAUAUUAACGAAAUUUUUUACCAAUAUUAAAUGAAAGAAAUUUUCAAUUGAUAUUAAUUGAAUAGUCAUAAGAAAAAUUAUUUAAAAAAUUAUAAAAAUCAUUUUGAUGUUAAUCUAAAUAAUUGUAGAAAACCCACAAAAUUAAGAAGAAACUUUAUCAAUGUUAUUAGAAAUUUAUUAUAAAUUAUUUUAUAUUUAAAUAAUUUUAUAUAAAUACUAAUUUAAAUAUUUUAUACAAAAUUAAUAAAUUUAAAUUACCUUGUUGAGAUAAACGUUUAAACAAUGAGAUCAAUUUAAAUUUUAUAUAUUUAAUUUUUUAAAAUUAUAAUAUUACUUAUCCAAACAAAGAUUAUGAUAUUUUUUUAAUAUACUUUGAUUUAUUAAAUAUGUUGUUACGUUUGGAGUUAUUUUUAACAUAUUAAUGAUAUUUAUUUGAUAUUCAAAUAUAUUAUUUAUACUUAUUCAACUAACAACAUUUAAAUCAUACUCUUCAAAUGACUUUACCAAAUUUUCAUUUUUUAUUCGUUCUCCUAAACUUACAUAAAAAGAUAAAUAUUGUGUAAAUAAUCUUUUAUCUAAUUAACUAUUAAAGUUUUAGCUACUAAUUGUUUUAUAUUCGAAAGUUGAUAAUUAAAAUCUUAAUAGUUAAUUAAAUAUUAAUUUAAAAAAUUAAUUUAUUAAUUUUAUUAAUAAUAGAAAUUACUUUUGAUAUUAAUAACUUUUUUAGUCUUUAAAAUAAUAUAUAAUUUAAUCACUAGUGAUUGAUUAUUUAUUAUUUCUAAAAUUAGUUUCUAUUUAUUAAUUUUUUUUAGUAAAAGUUAUAUAUUUUAAAAAAAAACUUUAAAUUUAAAUUAAUCAUACAAAAUCAAUUCAAUUUGUAAGGUGAGAUUUAACUCCACUGCUUUUUCUAACAUAAAUAAUAUAUAAAUUUCACAUUAAUAACUUAUUAACAAAUUUAUAUAAAAGAAUAAUAUUUAAUAUAAAAUAUUAAGAUGAUAGAGUUAUAAUUUUCUACUUGCAUAUUAUUUAUUUUACAAAAUUUUAAUAAAAGGAACUAACACUAAAGGAAAAAAUGGUUUUAACGGGGUAUUUAUUUUUAUAUUAUUCAUGAUUAAAAUCUCUAUUAAGUCAUUUACCUAGUGUUGCAGUUUUCUCGUUAAACCAUCCCUCAGCAAGGUGUUUUCUGGGUUUUUUUAAACCUCAGGACAAAUCUUUCAAAACUCUUAUUAAAUAUCAUGGGUUUAGAAACCUCCGUAAAAUACCAGGGGUUUCAAAAACCUUUGUUAAAUACCAUGGGUUUAAAAUUUUUUGUAAAAUAUCAUGGGUUUCAAAACCUCUGGUAAAUACCAUGAGUUUAAGAACUUUCAUAAAAUACCACGAGUUUCAAAAUUUUCGUAAAAUGACUUGUCGUCUGAAAUAACCUUCAACCUUAUUUUUCACCAUCUCUAACGAUCCUCCUGACUUCUUUAUUCCAUCAUAGACACACUUGUCCCCGACACAAGCUCAAUAGCCACCAACGACAGUCCUAGCAAGGAAUCAUAAUUUAGUCACACCUAUGUCUAUUAUACCUAAGGAAAAAUAAGGCACUAUCAUUGUUUCUUCCAUCACCUUACUACCUCAACUUGGGUCACAAGUCAUUCUUACCUAGCUCGACAACAGUUGAUGUUUAUCACUGCUUUAUAUAUCCUAAAUAAUUGUAUUAUCUGUUAGAUGUGGACUUCAAAGUCAUGUGUGUAAAAUAAAUUUUUGAAAACUUAGAAAACUUAUUGUAUUGUAAAGUUAUGCUUUUAAAAUUUUAGAAAAUUUAGUUAUAAAAUAUAUUGAAACUAUAUAGUUUUUAAUGGUUUAUUUAUAAAUAGAUUUAAUUAUACUUAUUUAUUAAAGUUUGAAAAAUCUGGAGCAUUUUAUUGAAGUUCUACCAUAAAUCUUUGAAAUUUAACAAAGGUUAAAAAAACUUUCAUUGUCUUGUUGAGAUUUUAGAAUAAAUCUUUAGAACUUAACGAAGGUUAAAAAAAUCUCCGUUAUUUUGCUGAAAUUUUAGAAUAACCUUGGAACUUAAUGAAUUAUUACAAAGUGGAAUUUAAACUUAACUCAACUCCAUAAAAUCAGCUCAUGAAGUGAGGUUUGCACCCACUUAUAUAUAAUGAAAUGCCUUAAUCUAUAGUCGAUGAGGGAUCUUCAACUUAAAUGUUAAAAAACUUUCAUAAUUAAAUUAAUUUCUAAAAUUAAAUUAAGUUACUCUCAAUAAUCUCUGUUAAAACUUUUUUUUUAAGUGUAAUAGAUCACAUAUUCACAUGAAACAUGUCUAAAUCAGAUGCAAUGACAAAGGAGGUCUUGUUAAUGUCCGAAACACUUGUUAUAAUUAACAUUUGAGUAUUAUUAUUAUUAACAUGUGUUUGAUUGUGGUGUGAUCAUAUUGAUGCAUUAAUUAAAGUUUUAUUAUUAUUAUUAUUAUCUUCUUGGCGAGUUCUUAUAUCAUCAGAGUAUAAGAAAUGGUUUUGACCUACUAAUGGAAAAUUAUGAUUCUGCCACCAUUUUUGGUCGAGUUUUUUAAUCCUCUGAUUCUAUAUCUGAGGUUACAUUACCAUUAGCUGGAGAUGACCAAACAAGGGUCCCAACAUGCAUGCAUGUUGUUUUUCAACGCCAUUAAUGCUAGUGUUUCUUAAGUAUUCUUUAGUAUGUCAGCGGAACACCAAGAUUUCUGGUCAAUAAGAUUCUAGUCAAAUGUUUUCCACAGUAAAACAAAACAAUGUUCAGAGCAUAAAAUAUUCCCAAAAGAUGUAUAGAAAACAUGUAUUGGUAUUUGAUAGAAAUUAUAGUGGUCCACAACUUAAGACCAAUUCCAACAUUAACAUUGGCAACUUUAUUAUAGUAUAGCUUUGGUGAAGGUUAAUUGGAAAAAAAGCUUUAAAGUUAUUAUGAUACAUUUUUUUCAAAUACACUAAACUAAGAAGUGGUUAUGGGCGAAGUGGUAGGCCUUUGGGCAAAGCCUCCAAAACGGAGGCUGACAGAGUCUGAAGCUUGCAGUCAGAGGAAACGAAGGGAGAAUUGUGCUCCAUUGAUAUUUUGUUGAUCAAUUGCAGCAAAACCUGUUCAAGUUCUUCUGCAUCACUCCAUCCAUGAAUCUCAGCCUUAACAACUGAAGGGUCUUUGCAUAUCAAGUCCCACACUGGAAAGUUCUUCCUUGGCAUCAUAAAGUCCUUCUCUUUCAGCCUCAAACUUGGGCAAUAGUCUCCACUCCCAUCUCCAAGGUAGAUCAUCCUCUUAUCCUCUUCUGAUAUUGAAUCUUGGAUUCUCUUUAUCACUAAACCCUGCAAUCAUUCAAAUAAAAUUACAUUUUACAAUCAUAAGUAUCGGUGGGACCUAGGUCAAAAUUAUUCUUUAUUUUAUAUUUCAAUCAAAUCCAGUAUGCUCAUAUCAGAGAGCAAACAAUAAAUUUUGGUAUUUUUUAAGGCCAAGAAUUAAGGAGACAAGUUCCAUUGCUAUAGGAUUAAUCCAUGACUCAUGAACACUUGAGUCACGUUAGCAGCAAUCUUUGUGAUUAAAAAUGGAAAUAAUAGUGUCUCGUCAGCUAGAGCCAGUUAAGAUCAACUUGAAAACAAUAUCUAGAAACGUGUACUGUUGUAUACAUUUAAGCAAAUUUGUCAUCAUGAUUUAGACAAAUGAUAAAACAAGAUAGAAAAAGAAGUUGUGUAUUUACCUUGCACAUGUU
RNAcentral lists this long non-coding RNA (9675 nucleotides) under Phaseolus vulgaris (common bean). RNAcentral describes it as "long non-coding RNA (PVUL_LNC000934)". The record is from RNAcentral. Lineage: Eukaryota; Viridiplantae; Streptophyta; Magnoliopsida; Fabales; Fabaceae.